ACGAACGCUGGCGGCGUGCCUAAUACAUGCAAGUCGAGCGGAAUGAUGAAGAAGCUUGCUUCUUCUGAUUUUAGCGGCGGACGGGUGAGUAACACGUGGGCAACCUACCUUGUAGAUUGGGAUAACUCCGGGAAACCGGGGCUAAUACCGAAUAAUCCAUUUUGCUUCAUGGCGAGAUGUUGAAAGACGGUUUCGGCUGUCACUACAAGAUGGGCCCGCGGCGCAUUAGCUAGUUGGUAGGGUAAUGGCCUACCAAGGCGACGAUGCGUAGCCGACCUGAGAGGGUGAUCGGCCACACUGGGACUGAGACACGGCCCAGACUCCUACGGGAGGCAGCAGUAGGGAAUCUUCCACAAUGGACGAAAGUCUGAUGGAGCAACGCCGCGUGAGUGAAGAAGGUUUUCGGAUCGUAAAACUCUGUUGUAAGGGAAGAACACGUACGAGAGUAACUGCUCGUACCUUGACGGUACCUUAUUAGAAAGCCACGGCUAACUACGUG
This 499-nucleotide ribosomal RNA is filed under the name uncultured bacterium. Its description in RNAcentral is "bacterial SSU rRNA". It matches the Rfam family "Bacterial small subunit ribosomal RNA", at positions 29 to 507 of the family's 1533-position model. The record is from RNAcentral.